CGGUGUUUAACUGGCGUGAUGUGGGACGUCCUACCGGUGGGCUUAGCCUCGCGAGGGGCGGCCCAACUAAUAUCCCGUCGCGGUGCUCUUUACUGAGUGUCGAGUCGGGCCGGUACGUUUACUUUGAACAAAUUAGAGUGCUUAAAGCAGGCUAUCCUCGCCUGAAUACUGCGUGCAUGGAAUAAUGGAAUAGGACCUCGGUUCUAUUUUGUUGGUUUUCGGAACCCCGAGGUAAUGAUUAAUAGGGACAGAUGGGGGCAUUCGUAUUGCGACGUUAGAGGUGAAAUUCUUGGAUCGUCGCAAGACGGACAGAAGCGAAAGCAUUUGCCAAAAAUGUUUUCAUUAAUCAAGAACGAAAGUUAGAGGUUCGAAGGCGAUCAGAUACCGCCCUAGUUCUAACCAUAAACGAUGCCAGCUAGCGAUCCGCCGAAGUUCCUCCGAUGACUCGGCGGGCAGCUUCCGGGAAACCAAAGCUUUUGGGUUCCGGGGGAAGUAUGGUUGCAAAGCUGAAACUUAAAGGAAUUGACGGAAGGGCACCACCAGGAGUGGAGCCUGCGGCUUAAUUUGACUCAACACGGGAAACCUCACCAGGCCCAGACACCGGAAGGAUUGACAGAUUGAUAGCUCUUUCUUGAUUCGGUGGGUGGUGGUGCAUGGCCCGUUCUUAGUUGGUGGAGCGAUUUGUCUGGUUAAUUCCGAUAACGAACGAGACUCUAGCCUGCUAAAUAGGCGUACCUUAUGGUAUCGCGAAGGCCCCCGGCUUCGGCCGGUGGGUUUUUACUACCAACGUACAAACAAAUCUUCUUAGAGGGCACAGGCGG
RNAcentral lists this ribosomal RNA (821 nucleotides) under uncultured eukaryote. Its description in RNAcentral is "SSU rRNA". It matches the Rfam family "Eukaryotic small subunit ribosomal RNA", at positions 629 to 1427 of the family's 1831-position model. The record is from RNAcentral.